GACGAGGUGGCCGAGCGGUCUAAGGCGCUAGAUUCAGGUCUACCUGGGAAACUCCAGGGGUACAUUCUAGUCCGAAAGGGCGUGGGUUCAAAUCCCAUCCUCGUCA
Molecule: non-coding RNA, 106 nt
Organism: Pleodorina starrii
Lineage: Eukaryota; Viridiplantae; Chlorophyta; Chlorophyceae; Chlamydomonadales; Volvocaceae
Source: the annotation of a GenBank genome assembly